GACGAACGCUGGCGGCGUGCCUAAUACAUGCAAGUAGAACGCACAGUUUAUACCGUAGCUUGCUACACCAUAGACUGUGAGUUGCGAACGGGUGAGUAACGCGUAGGUAACCUGCCUGGUAGCGGGGGAUAACUAUUGGAAACGAUAGCUAAUACCGCAUAAUAUUAAUUAUUGCAUGAUAAUUAAUUGAAAGGUGCAAUUGCACCACUACCAGAUGGACCUUCGUUGUAUUAGCUAGUAGGUGAGGUAACGGCUCACCUAGGCGACGAUACAUAGCCGGCCGGGGAGGGGGAUGGGCCACACUGGGACUGAGACACGGCCCAGACUCCUACGGGAGGCAGCAGUAGGGAAUCUUCGGCAAUGGACGAAAGUCUGACCGAGCAACGCCGCGUGAGUGAAGAAGGUUUUCGGAUCGUAAAGCUCUGUUGUAAGAGAAGAACGGGUGUGAGAGUGGAAAGUUCACACUGUGACGGUAUCUUACCAGAAAGGGACGGCUAACUACGUG
This 505-nucleotide ribosomal RNA is filed under the name uncultured bacterium. Its description in RNAcentral is "partial 16S ribosomal RNA". It matches the Rfam family "Bacterial small subunit ribosomal RNA", at positions 28 to 507 of the family's 1533-position model. The record is from RNAcentral.